GAGGAGUGGCUGAGUGGUCGAAAGCGGCGGUCUUGAAAACCGUUGUACCGCAAGGUACCGUGGGUUCGAAUCCUACCUCCUCCG
RNAcentral lists this transfer RNA (84 nucleotides) under Candidatus Zixiibacteriota bacterium. RNAcentral describes it as "tRNA-Ser". It matches the Rfam family "tRNA". From Rfam's summary of the family: Transfer RNA (tRNA) molecules are approximately 80 nucleotides in length. Their secondary structure includes four short double-helical elements and three loops (D, anti-codon, and T loops). Further hydrogen bonds mediate the characteristic L-shaped molecular structure. tRNAs have two regions of fundamental functional importance: the anti-codon, which is responsible for specific mRNA codon recognition, and the 3' end, to which the tRNAs corresponding amino acid is attached (by aminoacyl-tRNA synthetases). tRNAs cope with the degeneracy of the genetic code in two manners: having more than one tRNA (with a specific anti-codon) for a particular amino acid; and 'wobble' base-pairing, i.e. permitting non-standard base-pairing at the 3rd anti-codon position. The record is from RNAcentral. Lineage: Bacteria; Pseudomonadati; Candidatus Zixiibacteriota.